Cercocebus atys (sooty mangabey) is the source of this 110-nucleotide ribosomal RNA. The record is from Ensembl. NCBI's taxonomy places the organism in Eukaryota, Metazoa, Chordata, Mammalia, Primates, Cercopithecidae.
GUCUACAGCGACACCACCCUGAACGUGCCUGAUUUCAGAAGCUAAGCAGGGGUCAAGGUUGCUUAGUUCUGGGAUGGGAGACCACCUUGGAAUAUCAGAUGCCCUAGGCU